This 254-nucleotide ribosomal RNA is filed under the name uncultured bacterium. Its description in RNAcentral is "partial 16S ribosomal RNA". It matches the Rfam family "Bacterial small subunit ribosomal RNA", at positions 524 to 776 of the family's 1533-position model. The record is from RNAcentral.
UACGGGGGGAGCAAGCGUUGUUCGGAUUUACUGGGCGUAAAGGGCGCGUAGGCGGUCAGCACAAGUCAGUUGUGAAAUCUCCGGGCUUAACCCGGAAAGGUCAACUGAUACUGUGCGACUAGAGUGCGGAAGGGGCAACUGGAAUUCUCGGUGUAGCGGUGAAAUGCGUAGAUAUCGAGAGGAACACCUGCGGCGAAGGCGGGUCGCUGGGCCGACACUGACGCUGAUGCGCGAAAGCCAGGGGAGCGAACGGG